This is a long non-coding RNA of Paramisgurnus dabryanus, 2324 nucleotides long. RefSeq lists it as uncharacterized. The record is from RefSeq and is a predicted model, not a curated record. Lineage: Eukaryota; Metazoa; Chordata; Actinopteri; Cypriniformes; Cobitidae.
CGGUAUACUGUACUGUGCAGUUCGUGUCCGCAUCGUCAUACGCGCCAGUAUUGCUGGAAGACUGCAGGAACAGAACCCCCUGGAAAGAUGAGUUCCUUAUUAAAGAAAGGCUUGAUGCUGUUUACUCCACACUCUUAGGCUGACUUUGUAUUAUUUGUCUGUGAAGACAGUUCACAGUUUCUGAAUCCCAUCAAGAAUGAAGACCUGCAGGCCACCAUAUUGAGAUGGUCCGAUGUCAUGAUAUGGCGCUUUUCCAAUGUAGGGUACAACUUGGCUCGGCACGAUGCAGCUCAGCUCGCUUUCGUUGCUUUUCCAGUACAGUUUAGUGUCGCUUCAGAGUGGGUGAGAUUAUAGGCAGGGGUGCACAUAACUGGUGCGUAUGCUCAAAUAGAAAAAAUUCUAGCGUACCAACGUUGCUGGAAUUUUGUUACAUAGUUAGCUAAUUUACUUUGACAUAAAAGAUUUCUUCGUGCAUCAGUGGUAAGAUAAUUAAUGUGUGUUGUUAGCAGUGAUCUGCAUCUCAAUGCUUCAGACAGCUUGCUAGUACAAGUAUACAUUUAUAUGAGUUAGGCUAGUAGUUAUUUAUAAAGAUUAGAUAAGUUAAAAACAAUAACCAGGGUUAUUUUAUGUACAUCAUUGUCUACCAUGUUUAAACAAAAGCGAUAUGGCGAAGAGAGUAGUCAGGAGAAAAGUGAUGAUGUCAGCAUGUAGGAUGUCUGUGCUAUGAAUAGUGUGAGUACCAAGUAACAUCUCCAGGUACUUCUUUGAGAACCAGGACAAAAAAAGUUAUGUGCACCCCUGAUUAUAGCCUUAUUGUUAAAGUUGCGUCCUCUCUACUGCCGUAACAUCAUCGUAAAUGUGAUACAAACACACACACACACACAACAUGGAGCAACAGAGCAUAUUAAUGGAAUGCAGCCACAAAAUCAAAAUUGACAGCCACAAGUAGAUUUUCCACUACCUCUCUCACAUGACAGGUUCUAUACAAACACCCGUGUCAUCAGUACCUGUACUCCGCUGACAGAACAUUUACGCCUAUACUUUUGGUGCGUUUUGAAUGCGGAGCCAUGCGCAAAGUUACAAAACUGCCAUCCAGACAUGGGCGCGGUGGUGUGCUCUGCAUUUUUGUAACUUUGCACAUGGCUUCGCAUCCGAAACCCAUUACCCCUUCCCCAAAAGUGAGCUGUGCUGAACUGGGUCAUACUAUGCAAUGGAAAAGCGCCAAAAGUGUCCUACUUCCUGGCUUGAAUGAUUUAGAAUUUUCAGCGUUGGACUUGUGUUCCGCGUGUUUGGCCUCUUUAGCACUUGUUGUUUGAAAGUCAUUGCUUGCAACAGAUUGAGUGAAUGUCAUUCUGCAUUUCUGUUUGCAUUGCUUUGCUUGCAUUUGAAUCCUUUGCAAUAAUAAAAGUUUUACAUUUGAGCUGUAGUUGUAGAUUCAAGUUUGUUUUUCCUUGAUAUAAUGUAUUUGUAUAGAUUUUUGCUGUGUGACAAUUAUAUAUCAUGCAGUGCUUCAUAUAUGAGAAAGACAACGCUUGAACCCCACAACACCGUAUCAUAUUAAUCAGAAUAAACAUUAAGUACUUGCACUUCAUUUAUAUUUAAUUGGGUGAUGUGUAACUUCACAAUGGUGGAUUCUUUAACUAUUACAUGAAUAUGUGCAUUGUGAUUUCGAUUUAUUGACAAUAGUUAUGUCUUAGGAAUAGUAUGGAAAAUCAUUAACUAAAAAAGACAUGGUGCCAGAUCUUUUUAUUCACAUUAAAUGUAAAAUUAUUGUAAAAUUGUAAGUUGCUUUAAUGGGAUCUAUGUAAUAAAAUCAGUAAAGGGUUGAUAUAAAGGCCAUGUUUUAGCAUACUAGUUUAAAAAUUAAGAAAAUAAUAAUAAUAAUUAUAAAAUAAUAUUAGAUACUAUAAACUACGAUUUUCAUUAGUAAAGUAAUAGCAAAAACAGCAUUUUUACUUUGAUGUCUGCAUGAAAGGGUAACCCUGCCUUAUGGUUAAAUGUGUAGUAUGGGUUUAUAUUAAAACUGAGUGGUUUCACGUCCCCGGAAGGUCCGCCUGCGAACGUUGUCUAGCGGACCAUAUGCUAACGUCCUCGGAAGGUCCGCCAGCGAACGUUAUUUAACGGACCAUAUGCGGACGUCCCCGGAAGGUCCGCCAGCGAACGUUAUUUAGCGGACCAUAUGCGGACGUCCCCGGAAGGUCCGCCAGCGAACGUUACAAUGCGGACCUUAUGCGGACGUCCUCGGAAGGUCCGCCAGCGAACGUUACAAUGCGGACCUCAUGCGGACCUAAGAGGACGUUCGCAACGUCCGGAGGACGUCCCCU